AACAAGGCGUACCUGCGGACCUGCGGAAGGAUCAUUAACGAGUUAGGGUCGUUCUGGCCCGAACUUCCAACCCCUUGUUUAUCACACCAUGUUGCUUUGGUAGGCCCGCUCUCUUAGGGGGGCCGCCGGAGGUUAUCCUACCUCUAGCCCGUGCCUGCCAGUAGCCUUAUUAAAUUCUUUUUAACUGUGUCGUCUGAGUGGUAUUUUCAAAUCAUUUAAAACUUUUAGCAAUGGAUCUCA
Molecule: unclassified non-coding RNA, 240 nt
Filed under: soil metagenome
Description: partial contains 5.8S ribosomal RNA, internal transcribed spacer 2, and large subunit ribosomal RNA
Source: RNAcentral